Sphaeramia orbicularis (orbiculate cardinalfish) is the source of this 1452-nucleotide long non-coding RNA. RefSeq lists it as uncharacterized. NCBI's taxonomy places the organism in Eukaryota, Metazoa, Chordata, Actinopteri, Kurtiformes, Apogonidae. The transcript has 3 exons. The record is from RefSeq and is a predicted model, not a curated record.
CAGAAUCCUCCAGAAGCAAACACUUGGUGACAGUGGUGAGGAAAAACAUCCUUUUAACAGGCAGAAACCCCAGAUAUCCUACUACUGCAGCUGUUCGUACCAAUAAUAGAAACCUCCACCAUCCAUGUAACUAUAUGAUGAACACUAGCACCACUAUAUGGAUAAAUAAUAAACGAAUAAUGAUGUCAUUCUCUCAAAUAUAUCUGACCAAACUGUCACUGGGAGGAGACUGUAUUCUCCUUCAGUGUGUUCCAGUCAAGUCAACUUUAUUUAUAAAGCACUUUUAAACAACACAGAUGGCCAAAGUGCUGUACACAGACAUAAAAACAUAGAAAAGAAUAAACAUAAUUAUACAUUAAAACAAUAAAAGCCAAAGAGAAAAAUAUGUUUUAAGAGAGGAUGUGAAAACAGAAAUGGAGUCAUCCUGCCUGAUGUGCAAAGGUAGUUCAUUCCACAGUUUGGGGACAGUGGCUGAAAAAGCCCUGGCACCUCUGAGCACAACAUACAGUGGAAUCCAGAAUUCCAACAGUGAAUCUCAGAUCUCCCUCCCAAACAGCCCCACACCGUCAUCAACCACCUGUGGCUGUGAUGCAGUUCAUCAGGUCGUCGCUGAUUCAAACGAGUUGAUUAUGUGCGUGUUCUGAACCAAAUCCAGCCCUGGUGACGCCUCUAGACACACAAGGUCGAAGAACGUCAGGUGAAGUCAUCGAAAAACAUCCCAGCUAAGAUCUGUGCAUCCCUAGUGAACUCGUAGGAUUAACACUUCACUGUUUUGCCACCGUUUACAGAAAACUCAAAUGUAUCUUUGUGUGUUUGUUAAUCACAGUUUUUUAGUGCAAGUAGAUCACAAAAUGCUUACUUUUUAAUGAACGUCAGGCCUGGGCCUCUAAUGCAGCUGUUUGGAAAGCAUAAGAAAUACUUUCAAAAACAUAAAGGCUGUCAUUACUUUACUGAGCUACUUUAAAUAAGACACUUUUAAGAAGUCAUGACUUACUUUUUAGUCGUAUUGGAUCAUAUUACAUUUAGUACCUUACUUUUUUUUUUUUUUUCCAAUAAAAUAUUUGGAAGAUUGUUCUGAAUAAGGCACCAGUGUCCAGUGGAGCCUUGAAGUGUACUUGUUAUGAAGACUGUCUCUGCUAAGCUGCCUACGUGGCCAAUAUGUAUUAAAUGGUAUGUGGUGUGUAAGAUAUGGUACUUGAAUCAUAGAUAUGUAUACGGUCUGUAUCCUAAAGUAAUGACUGUGGUACUAGGUGAGGGUGUGACAAUGACUGAAAUGAUUAACAUAAAUUUUGAGAUGUUUUAUUCUGUGUGAGAGCCGCAGAGGAUCCUGGGUAUUGUAGUGGGGCAACAGAUGUGAAGAAAUCAUAGAUCUAGUUUUGGACCAUCUAUUCUUAUGACAAUUGAGAGGUUAUUAAAGGUCACACAUUAAAAAUAAACAAUAUUUUUCUUAAA